GGAACCCGCUUGCAUUCUCCCAGUUGCGGUACAAUGCUGUUGGACAAAGGAAUAUACCUGCGUACUGAAUGCCGCUCUGAAUGCGACGGCGUGGUGAAACCUCUUCAAUCUGGUGAACAUUGCGCCGUGAUUACUCACCAUCGACCAACUUAUGACACUUAUCGCUCUAGCUACUCUUAUGUCUGCCGCGUGGGAUAUU
Molecule: long non-coding RNA, 199 nt
Organism: Dermacentor silvarum
Lineage: Eukaryota; Metazoa; Arthropoda; Arachnida; Ixodida; Ixodidae
Exons: 3
Source: RefSeq, a predicted model, not a curated record